Molecule: ribosomal RNA, 501 nt
Filed under: uncultured Glomeromycotina
Lineage: Eukaryota; Fungi; Glomeromycota
Description: partial small subunit ribosomal RNA
Rfam family: Eukaryotic small subunit ribosomal RNA
Source: RNAcentral
CCAAUAGCGUAUAUUAAAGUUGUUGCAGUUAAAAAGCUCGUAGUUGAAUUUCGGGAUCAGUACGCUGGUCGUGCCUUCGGUAUGUACUGGUGUCACUGAUUCCUCCCUUCUGACGAACCGUUAUGCCAUUUAUUUGGUGUGGCGGGGAAUCAGGACUGUUACUUUGAAAAAAAUUAGAGUGUUUAAAGCAGGCUCGCGCUUGAAUACAUUAGCAUGGAAUAAUGAAAUAGGCCGUUUGAUUCUAUUUUGUUGGUUUCUAGGAUCGACGUAAUGAUUAAUAGGGAUAGUUGGGGGCAUUAGUACUCAAUUGUCAGAGGUGAAAUUCUUGGAUUUAUUGAAGGCUAACUACUGCGAAAGCAUUUGCCAAGGAUGUUUUCAUUAAUCAAGAACGAAAGUUAGGGGAUCGAAGACGAUCAGAUACCGUCGUAGUCUUAACCAUAAACUAUGCCGACUAGGGAUCGGAUGAUGUUAAUUUUUUAAUGACUCAUUCGGCGCCUUACG